UUGUGUGAUGAGGUACUAUCUCAGGCAGCACACUGAGGCAAGGCAAUUCUCAUUUUGAGGUUUGCUACCCAACCUUUGUGGUUGGGGGACCUACUAACCCGAGGUUAAUGGGCGUGCUUUGUGCGAGUUCACCCACCAAGGUCAAAGGUGAAUAUGAACAUCUCACAUCAUGCCUCACCUAAGAAGGUUUCAAUCAAACAACCAAUCACUUUAAUGCCCUGCUUAGUUAUAAACCCGCGCUACUAGGCUCGGCAAUAUGAAAUGCUAUGUAAGUCAUUAUAAAACUUUGUAUGAUGACAUAUUUUCCCGAUGUGGGACUUUGGCAAUUAUCCUUAUUUUAUGAUAUAUAUAUAAAAAGUGAUUGUGUGAUGAGGGGUCCUAUCUCAGGCAGCACACUGAGGCAAGGCAAUUCUCAUUUUGAUGUUUGCUACCCAACCUUUGUGGUUGGGGGACCUACUAACCCGAGGUUAAUGGGCGUGCUUUGUGGGAGUUCAAACACCAAGGUCAAAGGUGAACAUCUCACACCAUGCCUCACCUAAGAAAGUUUCAAUCAAGCAACCAAUCACUUUAAUGCCCUGCUU
Molecule: long non-coding RNA, 581 nt
Filed under: Prunus persica (peach)
Lineage: Eukaryota; Viridiplantae; Streptophyta; Magnoliopsida; Rosales; Rosaceae
Description: long non-coding RNA (PPER_LNC004192)
Source: RNAcentral